Long non-coding RNA from Daphnia pulicaria, 613 nucleotides. RefSeq lists it as uncharacterized. The record is from RefSeq and is a predicted model, not a curated record. Lineage: Eukaryota; Metazoa; Arthropoda; Branchiopoda; Diplostraca; Daphniidae. The transcript is spliced from 3 exons.
AGGAAAGUCAGUCGAGUGAGCAUCUCCGACACGGCAGCAACUGCAGCGCACUCUCCAUCUGCCUUCUUCACCGUAUUGCCAGUUCGCAACCAUGGUUAACUAAGGCGUCGUAUGCUAUUGGGUGUUUUUGUAUGGCUGGGUCGACCACUGCUGUACCGAUGUCUUCUGGGUAUGGUGGAUGCCAAACCGCAACGUGCCGCCUUACUACACAACAACAACAACAUACGCAACAACCGGUUCCUACACCACCAAGGCUCUAGAGUGUUACGCUACAAUUCAUGAUGCCCCGAGCAGCUACACCGAAUCCCCGAAGUAUAACUCUGCCCUGAGUUACAUCACCAGAGAGGCGGAGUACUGCACCGAGGCCCCGCAGUACUACAACACCGAAGCGCUCAAGUACUACACUACAACCUACGCUGCCCCGAGCUACUACAUCUACGUCCCGAAGUAUUACUGUGCGUAAAAGGAGUCGUUAAAAAAAAAAAGAAGUCGUGCCCAAACUGCAGAGCCUUAUCUGUCACCAACUGGAUUCCUCAUCGUGUAACCGAUUCUCAGUUAUGGUCAACUAUGGCGUCGUGCUCCUGUUGGGUGUUGUAUCGUUGAUGGCUGGGUC